Molecule: ribosomal RNA, 532 nt
Filed under: uncultured Haloplanus sp.
Lineage: Archaea; Methanobacteriati; Methanobacteriota; Halobacteria; Halobacteriales; Haloferacaceae
Description: bacterial SSU rRNA
Rfam family: Archaeal small subunit ribosomal RNA
Source: RNAcentral
CUUUACACUGCACGCAAGUGCGAUAAGGGGACCCCGAGUGCGAGGGCAUACAGUCCUCGCUUUUCACCACCGUAAGGUGGUGGUGGAAUAAGAGCUGGGCAAGACCGGUGCCAGCCGCCGCGGUAAUACCGGCAGCUCGAGUGAUGGCCGAUUUUAUUGGGCCUAAAGCGUCCGUAGCCGGCCACACAAGUCCAUCGGGAAAUCCGCCAGCCUAACUGGCGGGCGUCCGGUGGAACCUGUGUGGCUUGGGACCGGAAGACCCAACGGGUACGUCUUGGGUAGGAGUGAAAUCCUGUAAUCCUGGACGGACCACCGAUAGCGAAAGCACGUUGGGAAGACGGAUCCGACGGUGAGGGACGAAAGCCAGGGUCUCGAACCGGAUUAGAUACCCGGGUAGUCCUGGCCGUAAACGAUGUCUGCUAGGUGUGGCUCCCACUACGAGUGGGUGCUGUGCCGUAGGGAAGCCGCUAAGCAGACCGCCUGGGAAGUACGUCCGCAAGGAUGAAACUUAAAGGAAUUGGCGGGGGAGCAC